Molecule: ribosomal RNA, 460 nt
Filed under: uncultured bacterium
Lineage: Bacteria
Description: partial 16S ribosomal RNA
Rfam family: Bacterial small subunit ribosomal RNA
Source: RNAcentral
CCUACGUGUGGCAGCAGUGAGGAAUAUUGGUCAAUGGGCGCGAGCCUGAACCAGCCAAGUAGCGUGAAGGAUGACUGCCCUACGGGUUGUAAACUUCUUUUAUAAAGGAAUAAAGUGAGGCACGUGUGCCUUUUUGUAUGUACUUUAUGAAUAAGGAUCGGCUAACUCCGUGCCAGCAGCCGCGGUAAUCCGGAGGAUCCGAGCGUUAUCCGGAUUUAUUGGGUUUAAAGGGAGCGUAGAUGGGUUGUUAAGUCAGUGGUGAAAGUUUGCGGAUCAACCGUAAAAUUGCAAUUGAUACUGGCAGUCUUGAGUACAGUUGAGGUAGGCGGAAUUCGUGGGGUAGCGGUGAAAUGCUUAGAUAUCACGAAGAACUCCGAUUGCGAAGGCAGCUUACUAAACUGCCACUGACAUUGAUGCUCGAAAGUGUGGGUAUCAAACAGGAUUAGAUACCCGUGUAGUC